GGGCGGGUAGUUUAACGGGAAAAAACGGCGUCGCGACGAUAAAAAACAGUUAGCCAGUUGUAGGUUCGAAUCCUACUCCGCCCU
RNAcentral lists this transfer RNA (84 nucleotides) under Anaerolineae bacterium. RNAcentral's name for it is "tRNA-OTHER". It matches the Rfam family "tRNA". From Rfam's summary of the family: Transfer RNA (tRNA) molecules are approximately 80 nucleotides in length. Their secondary structure includes four short double-helical elements and three loops (D, anti-codon, and T loops). The record is from RNAcentral. Lineage: Bacteria; Bacillati; Chloroflexota; Anaerolineae.